Molecule: ribosomal RNA, 492 nt
Filed under: uncultured bacterium
Lineage: Bacteria
Description: partial 16S ribosomal RNA
Rfam family: Bacterial small subunit ribosomal RNA
Source: RNAcentral
AGUGAACGCUGGCGGUAGGCCUGACACAUGCAAGUCGAACGGCAGCACAGUAAGAGCUUGCUCUUACGGGUGGCGAGUGGCGGACGGGUGAGGAAUACAUCGGAAUCUACUUUUUCGUGGGGGAUAACGUAGGGAAACUUACGCUAAUACCGCAUACGACCUACGGGUGAAAGCAGGGGAUCUUCGGACCUUGCGCGAUUGAAUGAGACGAUGUCGGAUUAGCUAGUUGGCGGGGUAAAGGCCCACCAAGGCGACGAUCCGUAGCUGGUCUGAGAGGAUGAUCAGCCACACUGGAACUGAGACACGGUCCAGACUACUACGGGAGGCAGCAGUGGGGAAUAUUGGACAAUGGGCGCAAGCCUGAUCCAGCCAUACCGCGUGGGUGAAGAAGGCCUUCGGGUUGUAAAGCCCUUUUGUUGGGAAAGAAAAGCAGCAGGUUAAUACCCCGCUGUUCUGACGGUACCCAAAGAAUAAGCACCGGCUAACUUCGUG